GUCUGCAACUCGACUACAUGAAGCUGGAAUCGCUAGUAAUCGCAGAUCAGAAUGCUGCGGUGAAUACGUUCCCGGGUCUUGUACACACCGCCCGUCACACCAUGGGAGUCGGAAAUGCCCGAAGCCGGUGACCAAACCAAUAAGGAAGGAGCCGUCGAAGGCAGGUCUGACAACUGGGUGAAGUCGUAACAAGGUAUC
This 198-nucleotide ribosomal RNA is filed under the name uncultured bacterium. Its description in RNAcentral is "partial 16S ribosomal RNA". It matches the Rfam family "Bacterial small subunit ribosomal RNA", at positions 1303 to 1500 of the family's 1533-position model. The record is from RNAcentral.